UACAGGAACUGGGAGAGGAAGGGAAUCACUGCCAUGUGUACAAUACUAAAGAAUGGAAACAUAAUGUCUUUUCAGGACCUUAGAGAAAUGUAUGGAUUAAAAAAUUAGGAUAUUUUUUUAGAUAACUACAGCUAAGGGAUUAUAUUAUAAGGGAAAUAGGGAGCGCAAAAAUAUUAAACGGAGUGAUAGAUGUACUAAUGCGAGUAUAUAAUGGGUCAAAAAUCAAGGUGGUAUCUGUGUUAUAUCAAAACCUCAGAGACUGUACGAGUGCUUCAACUGAUUACAUUAGGGCUAGAUGGGAGACGGAGCUGGUCCUGCAGUCAGGCCCCCAGUUUAGCCAGGCAGGGCCUCACAACCAG
This 359-nucleotide unclassified non-coding RNA is filed under the name Hevea brasiliensis (rubber tree). Lineage: Eukaryota; Viridiplantae; Streptophyta; Magnoliopsida; Malpighiales; Euphorbiaceae. The record is from RNAcentral.